Molecule: transfer RNA, 77 nt
Filed under: bioreactor metagenome
Description: tRNA-Ala
Source: RNAcentral
CUCGGUUCUGGGGUGCCGAUCGGUGCCUGCCUGGUUGGCGGCAAGGCGACCGGCCUGUUCGGGCCAGGCAACCAUGG